UGAGGAAUAUUGGUCAAUGGCCGAGAGGCUGAACCAGCCAAGUCGCGUGAAGGAAGAAGGAUCUAUGGUUUGUAAACUUCUUUUAUAGGGGAAUAAAGUGGAGGACGUGUCCUUUUUUGUAUGUACCCUAUGAAUAAGCAUCGGCUAACUCCGUGCCAGCAGCCGCGGUAAUACGGAGGAUGCGAGCGUUAUCCGGAUUUAUUGGGUUUAAAGGGUGCGUAGGUGGUGAUUUAAGUCAGCGGUGAAAGUUUGAGGCUCAACCUUAAAAUUGCAGUUGAUACUGGCGUCCUUGAGUACGGUUGAGGCAGGCGGAAUUCGUGGUGUAGCGGUGAAAUGCUUAGAUAUCACGAAGAACCCCGAUUGCGAAGGCAGCCUGCUAAACCGCCACUGACGUUGAGGCUCGAAAGUGUGGGUAUCAAACAGGAUUAGAUACCCUGGUAGUCCACACGGUAAACGAUGGAUACUCGCUGUUGGCGAUAGACUGUCAGCGGCUUAGCGAAAGCGUUAAGUAUCCCACCUGGGGAGUACGCCGGCAACGGUGAAACUCAAAGGAAUUGACGGGGGCCCGCACAAGCGGAGGAACAUGUGGUUUAAUUCGAUGAUACGCGAGGAACCUUACCCGGGCUUGAAUUGCAGACGAAUUGCUUGGAAACAGGCAAGCCGCAAGGCGUCUGUGAAGGUGCUGCAUGGUUGUCGUCAGCUCGUGCCGUGAGGUGUCGGCUUAAGUGCCAUAACGAGCGCAACCCUCGUGUCCAGUUACUAGCAGGUUAUGCUGAGGACUCUGGACAGACUGCCAUCGUAAGAUGUGAGGAAGGUGGGGAUGACGUCAAAUCAGCACGGCCCUUACGUCCGGGGCUACACACGUGUUACAAUGGGGGGUACAGAGGGCCGCUACCACGCGAGUGGAUGCCAAUCCCCAAAACCUCUCUCAGUUCGGACUGGAGUCUGCAACCCGACUCCACGAAGCUGGAUUCGCUAGUAAUCGCGCAUCAGCCACGGCGCGGUGAAUACGUUCCC
RNAcentral lists this ribosomal RNA (1017 nucleotides) under uncultured bacterium. RNAcentral describes it as "bacterial SSU rRNA". It matches the Rfam family "Bacterial small subunit ribosomal RNA", at positions 355 to 1375 of the family's 1533-position model. The record is from RNAcentral.